GUAAUAGCAUUGCCAGUAGAAUUUUGAGGAAUCAUCCAGGGGAAGGCAGAAGAAGAAGACUGGGGAUUUGUCGACACACACCCCGGAUUAACUGAGGGGCAAGGUCUGAUUUUUCUGCAAUAGCAGGCGACAUGCAUAAACCAUAAGCCAAUGGAAGAAGUAAACCUUAAUUAAUUCAGCAGCCUGCCUUUAGAUAAUUGUCUCAAUUCUAUAUAUGCAAGAGAACAGAAUGGUUGUACUUUUGGAAGCUAAAUUAGCAACAUUAAUUAUAUCCCCAAGUAGGCAAGGAGUGCAUCGCAUAUUUUACUUAUGGAGUUAAAUUAACACGACGGUCCCUAAUACAGUAUCUAAAACUACAAAAAAUCAGAUUCAAAUAACAAUUGGAAUUACGAAAUAACACUAUAGACAUUAAGGGACUAGGUGAAUUCCAAAAAAUCUAUACCUUGUCUAUUGAAGUGACUUUGUGACAGUAGCAUAUUUGAGGAUGAGUACAUGAGGUACCUGCUACAAACUACUAGUACCAAUACUUGGUAAACAUUCUUAGCCGAGGAGGUUCGCAACUAGACUAUCUUCCUGCAAUAGGCUUCAGCAUUUAUAGAUUCUACUCCUUCAACGUAACGGAAUAAUGGAUCAUGCGUGUGUUAAGCUGCCGACAAUGACAAAAUUUUACCUCUAGCAGUUGACAAAAUUAACUUAGCUGUGCCUCCUUAUUGAAUUGUGAACGACCACAUCAAAAAACUUGAACUGUUAAGGAGGGACAGAUUUCUAUAGGAGUGUCAAUUUGAGCCCAAACCCAUUCAACCCGCCAAGAGAUUAAUGGGUUGAGCUACAACAUUUAACUCAUGGGUCUAUUUGGACUGCGCCCAAGUUAACCCAUUAUUUUUUAUAGCUCAUUCUGACACAUGAAGUAGCCCAAAUACAACCCAUGAAGCAAAAAAAUUUUUUACUGUAUUUUCAAUUUUCUGUUUUUUCGUUUUCCUGCACCACCCACCCCAACCCCCUGCAUAAAAAAAAAUUUACUGUAUUUUCAAUUUUCUGUUUCUUCGCCCUAGCAUGUUGAGAUUAUUUAUGAAGUGGUAAUUGUGAAACCUGCACCAUCUCUAACUUAUCUAAUAUCAUUUUGAAUUGUGCGACAAUCUUAUCUAAAAAUUUAAACAGUUAGGAAAUAUAAAAUUUAUAUUUACUUGUCUCCAGCACGUCUCCUCACGUGGGACUAGCAUAUGGAAAUUCAUUGUGAUAGACGGUCGAGGUGAGACCUGUACUCAGAACCUUAGUAUGCUUUGAUAUGCAUGUUGAAUUAUGUGAGUAAUGUGACUAUCUUACCUAAAAGAUUUAAACUUUAAGAUAGAUGGUCGUACAAUUCAACACAGUAGCUUUAAUUACCAUGAGUUACACAAACAACUCCGACUCGGACUCUGCAAUGAGAGAGAUUUAAGUGCCCAUUUGACUUUCCUCAAAGUGCAAAACAGAUAAUUAACAACAUUAUUAUAAACUUGAUUAGGAUAGCUAAAAUGAGGAAAUAGAGAGCGCAGAAAAUUACCCAUUUUCGAGUCCAGUGGGCAAGUUCUUGGAUUGUGAGAAUGGGGUUGUGGGAACGAGCGAAGAAGAUUUGGAGUCGAGAAAAGGUAUCGCCGAAGAAGACAAGGGAGUGACCAGCGAAACAGCAACUGCUAAAGGGAGUACCUUGGACCAAAAAUAUGGUACUGUUGCUAC
This 1713-nucleotide long non-coding RNA is filed under the name Nicotiana tabacum (common tobacco). RNAcentral describes it as "long non-coding RNA (NTAB_LNC010854)". The record is from RNAcentral. Lineage: Eukaryota; Viridiplantae; Streptophyta; Magnoliopsida; Solanales; Solanaceae.